AUCAGCGUGCUUUUUAUUGGAGGUGCAAAUUAUACAUAAUAACAUACAGCAAUUUUCAGUUAGAACUUUCGCAUUUUGCAGAAGUCCUUGCAUUUUUUUCAACAAAUAUAAGGGGAAGAAAAAUUCUCUCUUUUGUUUCCUCCCUUUCCCUUUUUCUUACAGAAAACAACGUCCAGGUUUUCUUGGAGCCAAUUAAGUCCAUUUGAAAUAAAGUUCUUUUAUUUUGGAUCAAGAGUGUCCACAUGGGGAGUUAAUCAAGAAUAAUUAUUCCUCUCUAAAUUCACAUCCUCAAAUAAUUUGAAUUAAAUCCCCAGCAUAGGAAAGCCCUAAAUGUCAGAGGAGGUUAAAAAAUAGUAGAGUAGACUAGAGGAGCUCUAUCAUAACAGAAAGCGAUGACAGUAAAACCAUCCUCUAUGCAGCCAGCCCAAGCCAGCAAGCGGAGCCAGCCAGGAUGGAUCCAGGUACAAAUGAUCCCACUCUCACUGUUCAGCCAUUUAAAGUCAACUGCUGUAUGUGUCCAUGGCACAGUUGCUAUGUACACUCUGUAUAGUGAUGUAAUAGUGGCAUCAGGCAGGAGAUGCUGCAGUCAUCAGAAGGAGCGAGUUCAGGCACAUCUCAGGAAGGAAUGUUGCUCAGGGAUGGAUGCCUUUCUCAGUUGUUUUCCCAGCUGGCUGCAGCUGCUUCAGGUCGAGACAGUACAAUCCUUCUUCUGUCCAGUUUCCAGCUGUGUGGAUCAGGAACCAGCAGCACAGGGCUCCCCAUCCCAGCCAGCUCCCAAAGGAGGUUUUAAGGAAGACAAAGUCAUCAGACAGUUACUGUGGGUCUUGGUUGGGGUUUUCAACUCGAAGGACAGCUGGACCAAACACUGCAAUACCAAUUUGUGAAGGAACUUGAAUUCACCAUAAAUACACAAAGAUGGAGCUGAGGAAAUGAAUCUAGGAUGAAGCUGAGUGAGGUUUCCAGCACCUUGAGCAAUGAUUCAUGGAGAUACCUGGUGGGGAUCAUAAGGAAAGUAAGAAGAACAAGGCUGGCACAGCCCCAGACAGAUUCACCAACUUCUUGGUCUCAGGCAGUGAGAAAUUUCCUCUUCCAGGUGCUCUCAACAGUGUGCAGCGCUGCUAUGGACAGAUGUCAUGGAGGUUUCCAUUAAAAUAAAUUAAAUCAAGCAGCUAUCCCA
This 1177-nucleotide long non-coding RNA is filed under the name Coturnix japonica (Japanese quail). RNAcentral's name for it is "lncRNA (ENSCJPG00005003156.1)". Lineage: Eukaryota; Metazoa; Chordata; Aves; Galliformes; Phasianidae. The record is from RNAcentral.